ACGGUUGUAGCUCAAUAGGAUAGAGCUGCGUGAUUCCUAAUCCGUCUAUACCAGUUCAAAUCUGGUCAGCCGUUCCA
RNAcentral lists this transfer RNA (77 nucleotides) under Caudoviricetes sp. RNAcentral's name for it is "tRNA-Arg". It matches the Rfam family "tRNA". From Rfam's summary of the family: Transfer RNA (tRNA) molecules are approximately 80 nucleotides in length. The record is from RNAcentral. Lineage: Duplodnaviria; Heunggongvirae; Uroviricota; Caudoviricetes.